CCUACGGGAGGCAGCAGUAGGGAAUAUUGCUCAAUGGGGGAAACCCUGAAGCAGCAACGCCGCGUGGAGGAUGAAGGUUUUCGGAUUGUAAACUCCUUUUGUUAGAGAAGAUAAUGACGGUACCUAACGAAUAAGCACCGGCCAACUCCGUGCCAGCAGCCGCAGUAAUAUGGAGGGUGCAAGCGUGACUCGGAAUCACCGGGCGUAAAGGGCGCGUAGGCGGGAUAGCAAGUCCGGUGUUAAAUCCUAUGGCUUAACCAUAGAACUGCAGUUGAAACUGUUAUUCUAGAGUAUGGGAGAGGUAGGUGGAAUGCUUGGUGUAGGGGUAAAAUCCGUAGAGAUCGAGAGGAAUACUCAUUGCGAAGGCGACCUGCUAGAACAUAACUGACGCUGAUGCGCGAAAGCGUGGGGAGCAAACAGGAUUAGAUACCCGUGUAGUC
Molecule: ribosomal RNA, 440 nt
Filed under: uncultured bacterium
Lineage: Bacteria
Description: partial 16S ribosomal RNA
Rfam family: Bacterial small subunit ribosomal RNA
Source: RNAcentral